This 285-nucleotide unclassified non-coding RNA is filed under the name uncultured fungus. Its description in RNAcentral is "partial contains small subunit ribosomal RNA, internal transcribed spacer 1, and 5.8S ribosomal RNA". The stretch from base 1 to 73 matches the Rfam family "Eukaryotic small subunit ribosomal RNA", at positions 1759 to 1831 of the family's 1831-position model. Lineage: Eukaryota; Fungi. The record is from RNAcentral.
GCAAACUUGGUCAUUUAGAGGAAGUAAAAGUCGUAACAAGGUUUCCGUAGGUGAACCUGCGGAAGGAUCAUUAAAAAAUUUAAUAUCCAUAAUCCACCUUUUGUGCAACUAUUGAAGAAAAGUUAAUCUUUGGGGAUGGGAAAAAUAUAUAUAUAUUUUUUCUCAUUCAUUCUCCCAAAGGUUUUUAAAAUAUAUAAUUUUUUUCUUAAUAAUUGUCUUAAUAUAAAAUAAAAAACAACUUUCAACAACGGAUCUCUUGGCUCUCGCAUCGAUGAAGAACGCAGC